This 646-nucleotide ribosomal RNA is filed under the name uncultured archaeon. RNAcentral's name for it is "bacterial SSU rRNA". It matches the Rfam family "Bacterial small subunit ribosomal RNA", at positions 504 to 1164 of the family's 1533-position model. The record is from RNAcentral.
UGUGCCCCCAGCCGCGGUAAUACGUAGGGUGCGAGCGUUGUCCGGAAUUACUGGGCGUAAAGAGCUCGUAGGUGGUUUGUCGCGUUGUUCGUGAAAACUCACAGCUUAACUGUGGGCGUGCGGGCGAUACGGGCAGACUGGAGUACUGCAGGGGAGACUGGAAUUCCUGGUGUAGCGGUGGAAUGCGCAGAUAUCAGGAGGAACACCGGUGGCGAAGGCGGGUCUCUGGGCAGUAACUGACGCUGAGGAGCGAAAGCGUGGGGAGCGAACAGGAUUAGAUACCCUGGUAGUCCACGCCGUAAACGGUGGGUACUAGGUGUGGGUUCUUUCCUAAGGAUCCGUGCCGUAGCUAACGCAUUAAGUACCCCGCCUGGGGAGUACGGCCGCAAGGCUAAAACUCAAAGGAAUUGACGGGGACCCGCACAAGCGGUGGAGCGUGUGGUUUAAUUCGACGCCACGCGAAGAACCUUACCAAGGCUUGACAUCCUGCGAAGGUCGCCGAAAGGCGACUGUGCCUUUUGGAACGCAGUGACAGGUGAUGCAUGGCCGUCGUCAGCUCGUGUCGUGAGAUGUUGGGUUAAGUCCCUUAACGAGCGCAACCCUUGUCGCAAGUUGUACGUAUCUUGCGAGACUGCCUCGGCAACGG